RNAcentral lists this ribosomal RNA (468 nucleotides) under uncultured Alphaproteobacteria bacterium. Its description in RNAcentral is "bacterial SSU rRNA". It matches the Rfam family "Bacterial small subunit ribosomal RNA", at positions 380 to 865 of the family's 1533-position model. The record is from RNAcentral. Lineage: Bacteria; Pseudomonadati; Pseudomonadota; Alphaproteobacteria.
AGCCUGAUCAGCAAUGCCGCGUGUGUGAUGAAGGUCUUAGGAUCGUAAAGCUCUUUCACCAGGGAUGAUAAUGACAGUMCCUGGUAAAGAAACCCCGGCUAACUCCGUGCCAGCAGCCGCGGUAAUACGGAGGGGGUUAGCGUUGUUCGGAAUUACUGGGCGUAAAGCGYACGUAGGCGGAUUAGAAAGUARGGGGUGAAAUCCCAGGGCUCAACCCKGGAACUGCCUCUGUAAACUGCURGUCUAGAGUUCGAGAGAGGUGAGUGGAAUUCCRAGUGUAGAGGUGAAAUUCGUAGAUAUUCGGAGGAACACCAGUGGCGAAGGCGGCUCACUGGCUCGAUACUGACGCUGAGGUGCGAAAGUGUGGGGAGCAAACAGGAUUAGAUACCCUGGUAGUCCACACCGUAAACGAWGAAUGCCAGUCGUCGGGYAKUAUAUCUGUUUGGUGACACAGCUAACGCACUCAGC